This 2016-nucleotide ribosomal RNA is filed under the name human gut metagenome. RNAcentral's name for it is "bacterial LSU rRNA". It matches the Rfam family "Bacterial large subunit ribosomal RNA", at positions 886 to 2925 of the family's 2925-position model. The record is from RNAcentral.
AUGAACCCAUGUGAAGGUAGAGCACUGAAUGUGUGAUGGCCCCAUCCCGGGGUACUGAAUACAAUCAAACUCCGAAUGUCAUGUGGGAUGUCCGGCAGUCAGACUGUGAGUGAUAAGGUCCAUGGUCGAGAGGGAAACAGCCCAGACCGCCAGUUAAGGUCCCAAAAUGCAGGCUAAGUGGAAAAGGAUGUGGGGAUGCCCAGACAACUAGGAGGUUGGCUCAGAAGCAGCCACCCUUUAAAGAGUGCGUAACAGCUCACUAGUCGAGUGACCCUGCGCCGAAAAUGUACCGGGGCUAAGCCUGAUACCGAAACUGCGGAAUCGAAUGAUUGGUAGGGGAGCGUUGUAUACGGGUGGAAGCCGUACCGUGAGGAGCGGUGGACUGUAUAGAAGUGAGAAUGCCGGUGUGAGUAGCGAGAUGUAGGUGAGAAUCCUACACACCGAAAGCCCAAGGAUUCCAGGGGAAGGUUCGUCCGCCCUGGGUAAGUCGGGACCUAACGCGAGGCCGAAAGGCGUAGUGGAUGGAAAGCAGGCGGAGAUUCCUGCACCCGUAUGUGGAGCGAUGGAGUGACGGAGACGGCUAAUGUGACCCUCUUAACGGAUUGAGGGCGAAGCGGGGUAGCGGUCGACCAGGCAAAUCCGGUCGGCAAAACGCGAAGACGUGACAGGGAAGCGAACGCUUUGGCAAGUAGCGAAGCACAUGAGGCCGGCUUCCAAGAAAAGCUUCUGGCAAUGCACAUGCGGCCCGUACCAAAACCGACACAGGUGGGCAGGUAGAGGAUACCAAGGUGAGCGAGAGAACUGUUGCCAAGGAACUCGGCAAAAUGGCUCCGUACGUUCGCAAGAAGGAGCGCUUAUGAAAAUAAGCCGCAGUGAAUAGGCCCAAGCGACUGUUUAACUAAAACACAGCUCUCUGCGAAGUCGCAAGACGAAGUAUAGGGGGUGACACCUGCCCGGUGCCGGAAGGUUAAGAGGAUCUGUCAAUCGCAAGAUGAAGCAGUGAGUUGAAGCCCCGGUGAACGGCGGCCGUAACUAUAACGGUCCUAAGGUAGCGAAAUUCCUUGUCAGGUAAGUUCUGACCCGCACGAAAGGUGUAACGAUUUGGGCGCUGUCUCGGCAGCAGGCUCGGUGAAAUCUUAGUACCUGUGAAAAUGCAGGUUACCCGCAACUAGACGGAGAGACCCCAUGGAGCUUUACUGUAGCCUGGUAUUGGAUUUUGGUCAGACAUGUACAGGAUAGGUGGGAGACUGUGAGACGUGCACGCCAGUGUACGAGGAGUCGUCGUUGGGAUACCACUCUUGUGUGAUCGGAGUUCUAACCUGUGGCUCUGAACCGGCCUAGGGAGAGUGCCAGGUGGGCAGUUUGACUGGGGCGGUCGCCUCCCAAAGAGUAACGGAGGCGCCCAAAGGUACGCUCAGAUUGGAUGGAAACCAAUCGCCGAGUGCAAAUGCAGAAGCGUGCUUGACUGUGAGAGCAACAACUCGAACAGGGACGAAAGUCGGGAUUAGUGAUCCGGCGGUGCCGAAUGGAAGGGCCGUCGCUCAACGGAUAAAAGCUACCCUGGGGAUAACAGGCUGAUCUCGCCCAAGAGUUCACAUCGACGGCGAGGUUUGGCACCUCGAUGUCGGCUCAUCGCAUCCUGGAGCUGGAUUCGGUUCCAAGGGUUGGGCUGUCCGCCCAUUAAAGCGGUACGCGAGCUGGGUUCAGAACGUCGUGAGACAGUUCGGUCCCUAUCUGUUGUGGGCGAAGGAGAUUUGAGGAGAGCUGCCCUUAGUACGAGAGGACCGGGGUGGACCUACCGCUGGUGCACCAGUUGUAUCGCCAGAUGCAUAGCUGGGUAGCUAAGUAGGGAAGGGAUAAGCGCUGAAAGCAUCUAAGCACGAAGCCUACUCCAAGAUGAGAUCUCCCAUUCGCAAGAAGUAAGACCCCUUGAAGACGACGAGGUAGAUAGGCCAGGGAUGGAAGUGCAGCGAUGCAUGGAGUUGACUGGUACUAAUCGGUCGAGGACUUAAUCAG